Molecule: long non-coding RNA, 1715 nt
Filed under: Homo sapiens (human)
Lineage: Eukaryota; Metazoa; Chordata; Mammalia; Primates; Hominidae
Description: HSALNT0395373
Source: RNAcentral
GCCCGCUGCUGCCACCGGGCCGCCUCGCCCCCGCGCCAGCCCGCCUGGGCCUCUGCGCCGCCGGCGGCUUCUUAAAUACAGGAAAGGGAGGGGACCGCAGGGCCCCGGUGUUCCCCACCCUAGUCCCCCUUCACCACGGGCCACCGGGCGCCAGCGGAGUGGGCAGCGAGCGCGACCGAAAGUUCCAACUCCACCAAACUCCCGCGCGCGGCCCACCCUUUCCCGGGAUUUCGGGGAUGACACGGGGGCCAGUGGUCCUGUCUGGUGUGAACCGUCAGCACAGAUGGCCUCCUGGAGCUUCCCCGAGUCGUUCGCUGGGGGAAGCGGGCGGUGAGCGGCCAGCCCGGGCGCUCCGCAGGCCGCGAGCUCCCGGCAGGGCUGGUGGCGGGGGUCCGCCUGGGGGAGGAAUCCCCGCCUGCUCCAUCGGACCCGGCCUGGCGCGGCUCGCGGCGCUCGGCGGGCUCCCUUCCAUUCUAGAAUCUUCCCGCUUGCUUCCCAGCCCGCGUUCUUCCGCCUGCCUUUAAUUGUGAUUAAGGAGUUUGGGGAAGUCGCAGAGCUGCAGCGGAAAGGCAGGGGUCUGAGACUACUUUUGAGAAGAGAAACAACGCAAAACGAUCGCUGGAGGGCCAGAGCCCUGGUCGAAGGUGCCCUAGCUUUUAUGACCUGGUUAAUUGUGUCUCCUUUUUAUUUUUAUUUUUUUCCUUACCACUACUACUACUACUACUUUUAUUUUUUUUUAACCGAUACACUUUGGAGAGAAGAAGCAGACACAGGUUCCCACGGCGUCUGACGCCUGCGGAGCAAGUCCAGAGCCAGCUGGACUCGCAGCCUCUGGCCCGGCGGCACCAACUCCUCACUGGGUCAUUUUGAGCGCGCUGUGCCCACCUUUUCUGUUGCGUGUGGACGUGGGGAGGAUCUUCUAAGUCCCUCCAACGAAGGCAAGUGUGAGACUCUGGCCCUUUAUUUGUAAGAAGCAAGCCUUCAGAUUGCAGAAGUGUCGCGCGGGUCGCCGUGCGUUGCGCGAGUGGGAAGAUGGAGGAGGCCGGCACGCUGCUUUCGUGGACGCAAGUGAACCGGGCGUGAAGGCAGGGUGCGAGCUCUGCCCUUGGCCCAGCCCUGCGUGGGCGCCGUCCCAGAUUCCGGGCGGUGCGGGGUGCAGAGAUCUGGAGAGACUUGCGGGCUCCCCAGCGCAGGCUGCUCUGGGAUUUCGUUGGAAGAUCCGGCAGAGCCUUGGAGGAGAGGGCCCGGGAGGCUGUGUGUGCAGCGGAAACUUGUACGAAUGCCCCCACAGCGGAAAUGGUGCGCACGAGUAAUUUCUGCGGUGCACCCUUUUAAAAAUUGACAAGUGAACAAGAUCAAUUUUUUAAGAAAGCAAAGGUAGAAAACAAAAGGCGUGCGACUUCUUGACUGGCUUGUUCCCGCCUUUCUUCCUUCUCUAUACUCAGAUCAGAAACUUUUCUUUAAUUGCUCUUAUUCAGUGCGACAACUUUUAAUAAAAGCAUUUGCAUUUUAAGCCUGAGUUGCAACCAUAGAUUUAUUGCGAAGUGACAACGUGUCUAUGGAAUAUUUUCGCAGAUGAGACAGGACAUGCGCUCUAGUCGUGCCCAGAUUAAAGCGACGCUGGGCCAUGUGCCUGUGUAGUGCAGACUCGGAGGGGCACACACAUACUCGUCACCACAUGACCACUGUCUAUUAAUAUUGUCAUACCUAAACAC